UGGGGAAUAUUGCACAAUGGAGGAAACUCUGAUGCAGCGACGCCGCGUGAGUGAUGAAGGUUUUCGGAUCGUAAAACUCUGUCCUAAGGGAAGAUAAUGACGGUACCUUAGGAGGAAGCCCCGGCUAACUACGUGCCAGCAGCCGCGGUAAUACGUAGGGGGCGAGCGUUAUCCGGAUUUAUUGGGCGUAAAGGGUACGCAGGUGGCUUUAUAAGUCAGGUGUGAAAGGCAGUGGCUCAACCAUUGCAAGCACUUGAAACUGUAAGGCUUGAGUACUGGAGAGGAAAGUGGAAUUCCUAGUGUAGCGGUGAAAUGCGUAGAUAUUAGGAGGAACACCAGUGGCGAAGGCGACUUUCUGGACAGAUACUGACACUGAGGUACGAAAGCGUGGGGAGCAAACA
This 401-nucleotide ribosomal RNA is filed under the name uncultured Eubacteriales bacterium. Its description in RNAcentral is "bacterial SSU rRNA". It matches the Rfam family "Bacterial small subunit ribosomal RNA", at positions 355 to 774 of the family's 1533-position model. Lineage: Bacteria; Bacillati; Bacillota; Clostridia; Eubacteriales. The record is from RNAcentral.